UUGCUGUGCAUGUGCAGCCUGCGUGUUGGUGUGUCUGCGUGGGGCAGUUGUGCGCGCGUGUUGGUUUGUGCUUACUUGGGGAGAGGGCACGUGUGUGCUUGUGAGUGUUGUGCCUUUAUAGGACCCAGAGCAGAGUUUUGGACAAGGAUCACAAGGAAGCUCGCUGGAAUCUGCUCGUGAACUUGGGGAAGGGCACUGCUGCUCGAGACGUGAUUGUGAAGGGGUGGCCGUCCAGUGGAUGAAGGCUGACAUGGUAGAUACAAUAAAAGUAAGAGGGAUCAGAAGGAACAAGCAAGGAGAAGGAAAGGAAGUUCAUUAAAGCAGAAAAAUAAGCAGAAAGAGAGGAAAGGAGUGAGAGAGAGGGAAGCAUCGAUGUGAGACAGAAACAUCGAUUGGCUGCCUGUCGUCGGUGCCACGACCGGGGAGUGAACCACAACUCAGGCCUGUGACCUGCCCUGAGUCAAACCCGCAGCCUUUUCAUGCAGAGAAUGAUGCUCAACCCAACCGAGCUGCUCAGGAAAAGCAAUGUUUUUGUUUGUUUGUUUGUUUGUUUGUUUUUAAAGCUUCAGUAGAGAUUCUUACCUGCAGCCAGGGCUGAAAAGCCCAUUUCAGGAGACAGGUGCAGUGUGGGGUAUUGUGUGUACAGCUGAGGAGGGAGUUGGUCACUGCCUCUCUCAGGAGCUGGGAUGUGACAUGACCUUGAGCAGCAUCCCAGGGAGGAGGAAGGCACCGAGGAGCGUGCGUCCUCCUCAGCCUGCCACGCCAGCCGGGCCAGGUGUACCAGGGAGGAAGGCCAGCGGAAGGCUGGUCACGCCGGGUUCCCGGUAUAAAUGUGUGGACGAGAAAAUGGGGGUUAUGGAAAGUGACCUCCCAGGAUGAUCUGGUCAUAAACUCCUGACUCGACCAGUGGGCCCUGGUGGGCAGUCUCGCCCCAGGCCUGUAACUUUUUCCGGACAAGGUUUGCCUUUGCCUCGGUGAGCCCUGUCCACCGUCUCUGUGCGGCCUGGUUCCCACACGCCUUUGGAGUGCCUCUUCUCAGACCCUCUAAUAAGCGGUCAGCCUCUCGGACCCCUCAAAAGACCACAUACUCUGAACGCCCCUCUACUCCCACUUUGCUUUCUCCCACCUCCAUGGAAUCUUCCUGACAUUUCAGUGCAUAAAAGAAGCUGCAGAACUGUUAUUCUCUGGAACAUUUGAGGUCUUGCUCCCCGGGACACAUCAUCAGCUUGGCCCAGAUAAACUCCUAUAAAACCUGAACCCAGGGUUUCACCGACCACUGGCAAACUCCGCACCGUGCUCCCUGAGGAACUGGGCGAGGAGGAGCCGCACCUCUGGGGACGAUGCUGGCCCUCUGCUCCGGAGCACCAAAGGAAAGCAAUGCCUUGUGAGAGCGUUCAGUGGGUGAACUGAACAUCUAUCAGGCUUUCACGAAGUGACUCAUGAAUCAGGCAGCUCCCCGUCCGUCGGUGAGAAGGGCAGUGGUUGGAAGGUGUGCACAGGCCCAAGGAGGGUGGGACUAAGAAGUUAAAAGGGCUGAUGACUUCUGGCCGGGACACCUGCCCCUGGGCAAGGCAGGAGUCUUAUCUGGCAGACACCUCACAACUGUCGAUCGAUCACCCCAUUCCAGGCAGAUUGGUUCACAAUUCCUCUCCUGGGAGAAGCUGAAACUGUGACCAGGGUACUACCAAACCGGUAAAUUCUGAUUUGGUGACACAACUCAGCCAAAGUGACUCCAUUUCAGUCUGUUGUUUCUUUUCCUUGAAGCCACCACAGGUUUCAGUGUCCCCUCGUCGAUGACACCUGCGCAGCACGGGCCGCGCCCACCGGCCUGUGUCCUCUGAGGCCGCACCUUCUCCUCACUCCCUCUGCAAACACGGUGAAAAUUUCCAGCUCUGUUUGGCGGGGACAGUGGGGCCGGAGGAGGAAAACCCUCUGUGGGCAACUGCUAGACAGGGAAGUUCCAGGCUGAGACCACGGCAACCCACAGACUAGUUCGAGGGCAGGAGGCAGGGGGCACAGAGCCUUCUCUGCCUCCAGAACAGCCCCAAACGGAACUUAGGACACACCUCCACGAGGAUGACCUGCUCUCCAAGGACCCUCCAGCGUCUUCUCAAUGUCUCAGUCAAGGUGGCGCCUAGAGGCCCGAGACCAAGAUUUGGGGACUGUGCCGUCAGUUGUGGGAGGGACCACCGCCCCUCCCCGCAACUGACCAGAAACAGCAAUUCACACCUGGAAUCAUCCCACAGGUGAGACAGAACCACCUCCUGGUUACGUUUCUCCACCCCUAAAGUGAAGGGAGAGAUUUGGGGUAACUCCAUCCCCAAAACCUGGAGCUUAGCACAGUCUGUGAAAAUGUAAAUGAAGAGCUUUCACUAGUUUUAAAGUUGCAAUACAAGUAAUGGAUUGCCCCGGGCCAAAAGGAUUACUUUUUAUAUGCAAAUGAACAUAACGAAUCUUUAAGUGCUCCUUAUUGUCAGGGUGAUGAGCUGACUCAAGCGGAGGAAAGGGAAGCUGGGUGGGCUCCAGUGCUUUGUGAAAAACCGGCCAGGGCCCAGGAGAGAGAGGCCGGACAGGUGCUGGGGCUGAUGGAAAGUUCUAGGGGUCGUGAGCGAGUAGAAAGAGCACGUGACUCUGAGUCAGUGGCUAAGGGUGGAAAGGAAGAGACUGAAAACCCAGGCGUCUGCUGAGACGGAAACAGGACAGGAAUGUUGUGUCUCAGGGCUGAAGGCAGUGACUCACUACAGACGGGAGCGUUCGGCCUCAGCACCAGGCACGCUCUCCUGUGCUUCCUGCUCUCCUAACUCCUCUCCGAGGUGCUAUCUCGAGGAGGAUCUCUGCUUGCAGAACUGGGCUGCAUUUCAAGUGGAUGUGCUCAGCACCUGGCAUGUGCUGAGUGUUCACUGAUAAGGAAGUGGUUGAUUCUUUGCCUCUGCUCAGUCAUUCAUUCACCGAGUAUUUCCUGAGAUCCCUGCCUGCCAGGCAGCGCAGUGGGUGUGGUCCCUGCCCUGGUGCGGUCGUCGGGCUACCGGGAGAGCAGGGACAAGCAUAAACGGUUAACUAAUCAUAUACAUGGAAAUCAUUCCAGUUAGCAUACAGAGAGAUAAUUGCAUAGGACAUCUGAAAGCACGGAAGUUAGCCAGAGGGAGAAGAAACAUUUUUCGCCAAGGGAGUCCGAACGUGGAGGUUUUAAGAACUGAAGGAAGGAUGGAGGCAGGCAGGUUGGCAGUAACGGGAAGUCGAGUCCAGCAUGUUCCAUGACGCCGAGAGGUGACGGGCACAUCGACUUCCAUCUGGGAGCCCUGGCCCCUCGGACGCACUGAGGGGAGACAAGGACAUCUGUCCCAGUGGAUUUUAAAUAGGUUUGCACUCACCUCUCCACCGCUUGGCCUUGCCGGCGCCCAGGCCUGGGCUUCGCUUCUCAGUCUGCUUCUCCCCAGCCCCUGAGCCUGCCUGAAGGAGCAGCCUGGGACUGAUACUGAGUGUGCACCCUGACCGGCGUGGCUCAGUGGGCUGGGCAACUUCCUGAAAAUCAAAAAGUCCUGUGUUUGAUUCCCAGUUGGGGCACGUGCCUGGGUUGCGGGGUCCCCUGGUCGGGGCACUUAGGAGAGGCAACGAUCGAUAUUGCUCUCUCACAUGUUGUUUCUCCCCCUCUCUUUCUCCCUCCCUUUCCCUCUUUCUAAAAAUAAAAUAAAAUCUUUAAAAAAACUCUGAGCGUGCAGUGAC
This is a long non-coding RNA of Artibeus jamaicensis (Jamaican fruit-eating bat), 3723 nucleotides long. RefSeq lists it as uncharacterized. The transcript is spliced from 3 exons. The record is from RefSeq and is a predicted model, not a curated record. NCBI's taxonomy places the organism in Eukaryota, Metazoa, Chordata, Mammalia, Chiroptera, Phyllostomidae.